This 305-nucleotide ribosomal RNA is filed under the name uncultured bacterium. Its description in RNAcentral is "bacterial SSU rRNA". It matches the Rfam family "Bacterial small subunit ribosomal RNA", at positions 332 to 655 of the family's 1533-position model. The record is from RNAcentral.
UACAUCCUAGGGGCGCAGCAGUGGGGAAUAUUGCACAAUGGGGGAAACCCUGAUGCAGCGACGCCGCGUGAGUGAAGAAGUAUUUCGGUAUGUAAAGCUCUAUCAGCAGGGAAGAAAAAAGACGGUACCUGACUAAGAAGCCCCGGCUAACUACGUGCCAGCAGCCGCGGUAAUACGUAGGAUUCGAGCGUUAUCCGGAUUUAUUGGGUUUAAAGGGUGCGUAGGCUGUCGGAUAAGUUAGAGGUCAAAUGUCGGGGCUUAACCCCGUGCCUGCCUCUGAUACUGUUCGACUAGAGAGCGGAUGG